CUUGGACUGAGGAUGAGCACAGGUAAAUUUAUUGUUACUGAUUUAUUUAGUUCUUUGGUACACCUGCAAAGUUAUAUACAACUUUUCAUAAUUGCUCUUUGCUAAUGAUUGUUUUUCUUGUUUAAUACUCUAUUGAUUAGUGUUUCUUUUGUUUUUGUCUUCAAUUGCAUGCUUUUGAGGUUAGCUAUAUCUUUUUGUGAAGAAUCUUGUCCUAGUAAUUCAGUUGGAAUCUUUAGCCUUGCUUCAACUUUUAUAGUUUUUAUUAAAACUUCUUUUUCCUCAAAGCAAGUUUACUGGGUGAGGGUGAGUUACUAUUGUUUGAUGAACUUCAGCAACAUAUGAUUUUCUGCUGGCUUACUUGAUAUGUUACUGUAUUAUUGCUGCCAAAUGUGCUGAAAGGUCAAGUAGUCAAUUUGGAAGUUUUGAAAGGCUGGCAUGUAGACGAAUAAAGUUGGUGGUUUCAACAACAUGAGAGAUUGCUUAUUACUUGUGUCAUCCUUUUGCCCUUGAAUUCUUUUGAGAAAGUUAAAAAAAAAAA
This 538-nucleotide unclassified non-coding RNA is filed under the name Hevea brasiliensis (rubber tree). The record is from RNAcentral. Lineage: Eukaryota; Viridiplantae; Streptophyta; Magnoliopsida; Malpighiales; Euphorbiaceae.